AAGGGUUGAUUCAUUGAUAAGAAAAUGUAAAAGACUCUAGGUGAAGUAAGCUAAAGAAGCAGAAAAAGUCUAGUAAAGGUUUUGGGAUUUGUAAAGAAAAGAAAGAGUUCUUGUUAGCUAUUGAAGAUGGGCAAAAGCCUUUGGUUUUAGAAUGUUAAAACAGGAACCUUAGUUGUUAAAGAAAUCCAAAUCCGCUAGAUGUAUCAAAGUGUUGAGAAAGCUUCUCCUAGAGUUAAGAGAAAAGAAAAUAAUGAUUAGAAAAAGGGAUUAAAAGAUUCAUGAAUGCAAAGGGUGGAGUUAAGUUCUUAUAUUGGGAUUGGAGAUGGGAUUACCAUUAGAGCUUCAUUUGAUAUACUCUGGGUAGAUGAGAUCUUACCUUUGUAUGCAUAGCUUGGGACUUACCUUUAGCAUUCUACUAAAGCUUAAUCAGUUUUUUAGAGAUUCCAUGUUAUUGAAGCCUAUUCUGUAAGGGACCAUAUUUGUCUCUUGACCUUUUACCUUACCCAAAUGAGUUCAUUGAUGAUGCAUUGCUUGAUUCACGUUCAAGAACUAAUGAAUGUUAAAGGGAUUGGUAGAUUUGAAAACAUGUGUAGGUCGAGCAUAUGAUUCGGAUUGAUUGAUAAUGAGGCAUGGCUAACGUUUUUGAGUUGAAUUCGAUCAUAUUGCAACUUAGAACUUUCAACUUGGACAUUGAUUUCAUCUGGUUUAUCUGGUGCUUUGGCUCUGAGUCCCCGCUUUCAAACCUCACCUCCAGCUUGUUCUUGAUUGUUUGCUUGAGGGCUAAAUUUGGGGGAGUUGAUAAGUGUGUAUUUUGCAUGUUUGAGCAUCCAUUUGUCAUCACUUUAGCAUCAUAUCAUCACUGUUUUAUACCAUUUCUCAUCAUUUGUCACCACUUUGCAUGUUUAGGAUAGUUUUGCAUGCAUGUUACAUAUUUGUGUUGCUUUCAGGUGAUUCGGAGCUGUUGACGAGCUAAUUGGAAGAAGCGGAUCUGAUCAUGCAAAACCACUCGACCCCCGGGUCGAGUAGACGCUUCACAACCUCAGCAGACCACUCGACCCCCUGGUCGAGUAGAGGACAUCACCACUUCACAACACCACUCGACCCCGAGGUCGAGUGUCUUCAUCUCCAUCACCUGACCAUCACUCGAUCACCUUACUCGACCCAGAGGUCGAGUGUCUUCACCUCCAUUACCAGACAACCACUCGAUCUCACCACUCUACCUUGAAGUCGAGUAUCACCAUUACUACCACUCGACUACACACUCGAUUGCGAGCUUCAGAGUCCUCUUCAUUCCGCACUCAACCAGACACUCGAGCACAAGGAAGAAAAGAAGACUCCAGCUAUUCACUCGACCUCCCACUCGACCACCUGGGUCGAGUACAGUUCUUAAUCCGUCCCAAUACUGCGUCGUUUUAAGUAUUAGGGUUUCAGAAUAUUUGGCUAUAAGUAGCAUGUACUUCACAUUUUCGCAAACAAGUUUUUUUUAUCUAGUUUUAUUCCGCAGACCUUGUGUUCUAGACCUUUUGUAAUCCGGAUUUCUCUUUAUCUAUUCAAUAUUCAGUAUUCAGCUUUUGUUCUUGAUUUCGUUUACUGUUGUUCAUUCUGAUAUCAUCCUGCUGUUACACUGUUGUUAUCAUGUUUUCAACUUGUUCAACGUUUAUGCUUUCUGUUAUGAUGUCUGAGUAGUGAAUAGGUUUUUGAGGAUGGGUUAGAGUAGUGUAGAAUUCUCAGUAUGCUAGGUGAUUGAGUAUUGAUUGAUAGAUCCCUUAUGGAUUAGUUGUUCUUAAUGCCUAUUGCCUUCUGAUCAACUGGAAUUUGAGCCCAGACAUUUCCGCGCCCAAAAGGUGUUCGAUGAAAUGUCUGAACCACUAAUUCGAGAGAUUCGUGACCUUGUACUAAGGUAUUGGUUGCAGGGAGCGUUUUGGCUUUAACUUGUUGAUUCGUAAUGCCUGUUAGGUUAGCUCUCGUCAAUGGUGAUUGAGUCUGGGACUAGGUUAACUUUAGGGUCUCUGUUGCGGUGGCACUAAGAACUGCUAGAACACACCACAACCUGUUAUUGGUUGGCUUGACUUAGUGACUUCUGAUCACAUCUUGAUUGUUAGCAUCACACCCAUUUGGAUUGACAACCUUCAGUACUACAACGACAUGAUAGUGCUUUAGGAUUAAUUGAUCUUAAAAACCUAUUAUCAAAA
This 2192-nucleotide small RNA is filed under the name Arabidopsis thaliana (thale cress). Its description in RNAcentral is "ATSL033950". Lineage: Eukaryota; Viridiplantae; Streptophyta; Magnoliopsida; Brassicales; Brassicaceae. The record is from RNAcentral.